GGGGCAAGCGUUGUUCGGAUUUAUUGGGCGUAAAGGGUGCGUAGGCGGUUUGGCAAGUCUUGUGUGAAAUCUUCGGGCUCAACCCGAAGCCUGCGCGAGAAACUACCGGGCUUGAGUGAUGGAGAGGUGAGUGGAAUUUCCGGUGUAGCGGUGAAAUGCGUAGAUAUCGGAAGGAACACCUGUGGCGAAAGCGGCUCACUGGACAUUAACUGACGCUGAUGCACGAAAGCUAGGGGAGCAAACAGGAUUAGAUACCCUGGUAGUCCUAGCCCUAAACGAUGAUCGCUUGAUGUGGCAGGUACCCAAUCCUGCCGUGUCGAAGCUAACGCGAUAAGCGAUCCGCCUGGGGAGUACGGUCGCAAGACUGAAACUCAAAGGAAUUGACGGGGGCCCGCACAAGCGGUGGAGCAUGUGGUUUAAUUCGACGCAACGCGAAGAACCUUACCUGGGCUCGAAAUGUACCGGAAUCCGGCAGAAACGUCGGCGUCUAGCAAUAGACCGGUAUAUAGGUGCUGCAUGGCUGUCGUCAGCUCGUGUCGUGAGAUGUUGGGUUAAGUCCCGCAACGAGCGCAACCCUUAUCUUCAGUUGCUACCAUUUAGUUGAGCACUCUGACGAAACCGCCUCGGAUAACGGGGAGGAAGGUGGGGAUGACGUCAAGUCCUCAUGGCCUUUAUGUCCAGGGCUACACACGUGCUACAAUGGCCGGUACAAACCGCUGCAACCCCGCGAGGGUGAGCUAAUCGGAAAAAGCCGGCCUCAGUUCGGAUUGGAGUCUGCAACUCGACUCCAUGAAGCUGGAAUCGC
This 805-nucleotide ribosomal RNA is filed under the name uncultured Acidobacteriota bacterium. RNAcentral's name for it is "bacterial SSU rRNA". It matches the Rfam family "Bacterial small subunit ribosomal RNA", at positions 531 to 1335 of the family's 1533-position model. The record is from RNAcentral. Lineage: Bacteria; Pseudomonadati; Acidobacteriota.